AUGCACCAAAAUACCACUAGAAAGACAAGCCAUUCCUUGAUGCUCCUGGUGGUUGCCAGCAAUCUUUGGCCUCCCUUUGACAUUCAUCGGUUUGUAGAUGUUUUGCUCCAAUUCCUGCUGGCAUCACAUGGCAUUCUUCUGGUCUUGUCUUAUUGCAUUGCUAAGACAUCCAGCAUGGUGUUGCAGAGAAGUGACAGAGGACUUGUUCCCUUCUUAAGGAGAGAUGUAUUUAGACUCAUCAUGAGAAUAAUGUGAGCUGAAGCUUUUCAGAGAUUUCCUUUUUUAUAUAAUCUAUUUCAAUUAUCCCAUUAGGCUUAGUGUUUGGGUAGAAUCGUCUACAUUUACAGAUGAGAAUACUGAGGUUCAAAGAUGUUAUCUAAAUUGCCCACAAUCAUACAGCUAGCAAGAGGCAAUCAAGACCAUGAUUCCAGUGCUGUUUCAACUGUAUCAAUGAUUCCAUUUGUCAAGUGUCUGGUGCUUUAUUCCUUAUAAAUCAUUCACUUAGGAAAUAAUUAUUGAGCUCAUACCAUGUGCUAUACUUUAAAGGUGCAAAGCACUGAAUAAAAGUUAUUUAUUUGUAUUAAUAAGUUUUAAAAUUGAGAUGAUACCCAUGAAAUGUUUUAAGAAAGAUUUGCAAGAGGUUUUGCAUAGAUUAUUUAGAAAGACAAGAGGAAAUCACCUUACUGAUGAAAGUAAUACAUCAUCAGGAUGGCAUAUCCCAUUAAGCAUCAAAGGGAUGCUGUGUUUUAGUUCUUAAAGCAUGAAUUUGUGUCUCCAGAGAUAAUUUGUGACAACUGUGUAUUUGAAGCUCUAUUUAUCUGUAUUGAAGAACACACAGAUUCCACUUUUAAUACAGGUUGUUCUUAUGGAACAGCACCAUUGUUUUGGUGAUUAUCAUCAUCUUCUUUAGCAUUAUAUCAGAGAAUGUCUUUUCUUUCUUAUUUUAUUGGGAGCUAAUUUAUUCAUAUUUUAAGUGUUUUCAAUAAGGAGAUUAUAAUUUUAGGUUUAGUUUCUUUUUAUCUUUGUCCAUAUGUAUGUUCUAAUUCACUCAUUCUAAAUUGAGGGAUAAUUUGCAAAGUGAAAAUCAGCUCAUCUUUCUUUUUCAGGUUAUGAAUAAAUAUGCCAAGGAAUAUGAAGAUCAGAGAAGGGAAUCACAGAAUGUUAGGACUGAAAGAGAUCAUGAUGGUCACCAUAUUAUUUUACAGUUGAGGAAAUUGAGGCCCAGGAAACUUAAGCCACAUGUCUAAUAUUAUACAGCUGCUGGCCAAGUGGCAAAGCU
This 1279-nucleotide long non-coding RNA is filed under the name Callithrix jacchus (white-tufted-ear marmoset). RNAcentral's name for it is "lncRNA (ENSCJAG00000082295.1)". Lineage: Eukaryota; Metazoa; Chordata; Mammalia; Primates; Cebidae. The record is from RNAcentral.